RNAcentral lists this ribosomal RNA (253 nucleotides) under uncultured bacterium. RNAcentral describes it as "partial 16S ribosomal RNA". It matches the Rfam family "Bacterial small subunit ribosomal RNA", at positions 524 to 776 of the family's 1533-position model. The record is from RNAcentral.
UACGUAGGGUGCAAGCGUUGUCCGGAUUUAUUGGGCGUAAAGAGCGUGUAGGCGGCCAGGUAGGUCAGCUGUGAAAACUCGAGGCUCAACCUCGAGACGUCGGUUGAAACCACCUGGCUAGAGUCCGGAAGAGGAGAGUGGAAUUCCUGGUGUAGCGGUGAAAUGCGCAGAUAUCAGGAAGAACACCCGUGGCUAAGGCGGCUCUCUAGUACGGUACUGACGCUGAGACGCGAAAGCGUGGGGAGCGAACAGG